UGGCGAACGGGUGAGUAAUAUAUCGGAACGUGCCCAGUAGUGGGGGAUAACUGCUCGAAAGAGCAGCUAAUACCGCAUACGACCUGAGGGUGAAAGGGGGGGAUCGCAAGACCUCUCGCUAUUGGAGCGGCCGAUAUCAGAUUAGCUAGCUGGUGGGGUAAAGGCCUACCAAGGCAACGAUCUGUAGUUGGUCUGAGAGGACGACCAGCCACACUGGGACUGAGACACGGCCCAGACUCCUACGGGAGGCAGCAGUGGGGAAUUUUGGACAAUGGGCGCAAGCCUGAUCCAGCAAUGCCGCGUGCAGGAAGAAGGCCUUCGGGUUGUAAACUGCUUUUGUCAGGGAAGAAAUCUUCUGGGCUAAUACCCCGGGAGGAUGACGGUACCUGAAGAAUAAGCACCGGCU
This 406-nucleotide ribosomal RNA is filed under the name uncultured bacterium. RNAcentral describes it as "bacterial SSU rRNA". It matches the Rfam family "Bacterial small subunit ribosomal RNA", at positions 96 to 498 of the family's 1533-position model. The record is from RNAcentral.